UUCUGGAAAAUAAUGUCACCUAAUCUCUAUCUUUGUGAAAUUGAUUGAUUAAGAUCGGUUAUAUAUCUUUGGACGUUACUAAGGGGUCGCUUUGUUGGAGGGAUUAGGAAACAUAUUUCCGGUUAACUAAUGCGGCGUUCGGUUGGCUUAUGUAGCUUUUGGUUUGUGUUAUUAAACAAUACUUGCAUUACGUUACCUAGAAGUUAUGUAUUAUUUUAUGCGGGAUAAUUUGAAACAUGAAUACAUGUAUUUUUAAUACGGAUAACAUUACUUAACAUUUCAUGCAUUAUUAUUCAUUGCAUAACAAUCUCUAUAUUAUUAUUCACCGUAUAACAGUCCCUUCAUUAUAUUCACUAAAGCCCAUUCAAUAGAUGCUUUUGCCAUAUCCUGAUUUUCUUUUGACCCCCUCCC
RNAcentral lists this long non-coding RNA (411 nucleotides) under Nicotiana benthamiana. Its description in RNAcentral is "long non-coding RNA (NBEN_LNC012147)". The record is from RNAcentral. Lineage: Eukaryota; Viridiplantae; Streptophyta; Magnoliopsida; Solanales; Solanaceae.